UACGGGGGGGGCAAGCGUUGUUCGGAAUUACUGGGCGUAAAGGGCUCGUAGGCGGCCAACUAAGUCAGACGUGAAAUCCCUCGGCUUAACCGGGGAACUGCGUCUGAUACUGGAUGGCUUGAAUCCGGGAGAGGGAUGCGGAAUUCCAGGUGUAGCGGUGAAAUGCGUAGAUAUCUGGAGGAACACCGGUGGCGAAGGCGGCAUCCUGGACCGGCAUUGACGCUGAGGAGCGAAAGCUAGGGUAGCAAACGGG
RNAcentral lists this ribosomal RNA (253 nucleotides) under uncultured bacterium. RNAcentral describes it as "partial 16S ribosomal RNA". It matches the Rfam family "Bacterial small subunit ribosomal RNA", at positions 524 to 776 of the family's 1533-position model. The record is from RNAcentral.